UACGGGAGGCAGCAGUGAGGAAUAUUGGUCAAUGGGCGGAAGCCUGAACCAGCCAUGCCGCGUGAAGGAAUAAGGUCCUAUGGAUCGUAAACUUCUUUUGUGCGGGAGCAAUAAGGGCGUCGUGACGUCCGAUGAGAGUACCGUACGAAUAAGCAUCGGCUAACUCCGUGCCAGCAGCCGCGGUAAU
Molecule: ribosomal RNA, 187 nt
Filed under: uncultured rumen bacterium
Lineage: Bacteria
Description: partial 16S ribosomal RNA
Rfam family: Bacterial small subunit ribosomal RNA
Source: RNAcentral